GCGUGGAUUGACAUUCAAACCCAUCUUGCAGUUAAUAAAACCAAAUAUUUUAAUCAUUCACGGUGCCAAAGAGCAGAAUCAAAUGGACUUUUUGUUUCCAGAGAGCUCAUGAACUGCAUAGAAAAAGGUUUCUGAAGGUCUUUCCGAAUAUUUUCUGGAGCUUUGGCGGCCAUUUCAUGUCUGGUAGAUGACUAAUUUCAGAGGAAUGAUUUUUCCCCUGCAAAACACAUACCGAAAAAAGUCUGACUGCUUGGAAGAAAAAGAAAAGGUAGAGGAAUGAGAAGUGAAACAUUUUGGACCCGAUGCUGCCGUUGUGGUUCUGCUUUUGACCGAGGCGGCUACAUCUGUCUGGAGUUGUUUUGCCUAACUGAAUUUGUUGAAAAUGCUGAUUAUGUGCAGUGACCUGUGCAGAUUGGUGGACACAUUUUGACCGGUGAGCUACAUCUGAAGACUGCCAGACAACGUAUUAAUGUGCAAAGAGUUUUCGGGGAUUAGAUG
Molecule: long non-coding RNA, 498 nt
Organism: Gambusia affinis (western mosquitofish)
Lineage: Eukaryota; Metazoa; Chordata; Actinopteri; Cyprinodontiformes; Poeciliidae
Exons: 4
Source: RefSeq, a predicted model, not a curated record